Portunus trituberculatus (swimming crab) is the source of this 1152-nucleotide long non-coding RNA. RefSeq lists it as uncharacterized. Lineage: Eukaryota; Metazoa; Arthropoda; Malacostraca; Decapoda; Portunidae. The record is from RefSeq and is a predicted model, not a curated record. The transcript has 2 exons.
AAUUCACCCAAAAGAGUAGCCUCACCACACACACCCUGACACACAGUGGUGUUAGAAAUUAUGAGUGUCUGGAAUGUGGAAAGAAAUUCUACACAAAGAGUGAACUCACCAAACACACCCUGACACAUGGCGGCAUCAGGAAUCAUGAGUGUGAGGAGUGUGGCAAGAAAUUCUUAACCAUUGGUGCUCUCAACAAACAUGCCUUCAGACACACUGGCUUGAGGGAGUUCAAGUGUGAUGUUUGUGGCAAGUGUUUCAAGACUAAGAGUGACAUUGCCCGGCAUGUGAAGAUCCACUUUUGAGGUGGUGUGUUGUGUGGACCGGUGGGGCCACACCCGUGCCUGUGGGAGUGUGUGGUGGUGGUGGUGGUGGUUUUUCUCUUUUCUUUCUUCUCUCGCAUUACCUCACCCCGACCUUGGCCUGACCUUCCAGCCUUUGGUCCUCGGCACAGCCAGGUGAAGCAUGCCUUCAGUGGGAACCGGUCUCCCGAGGGUGUCACCAAGGCUCUCCAUCUCCAGCAGGACGUGGCGGGGGUCAAGAUGGCAGGCAAGCAAGACGUUGGUGUGUGUUGGAUGCCUGCGUGACUCCAUGCUACGCUGGCCUGCCACACCACAGGAUACAUUGAUGAUAGUGUCACCUCAGCACACACUACACUGUUGUCAUGUGUGGCAGUGCCUGUAAGGACACCACACCCCUCCACCAAUACCACUGCUGUGUGUGGGUAUGUCUAUAUAUAGCAUCCCAUCCCAUCCCCUAUAUACCUGCCCUAUUUACACCUGCUGCUGUUUAUCCCCCAUAUACCUACACCAAGUCAAUAAUACCUCAAAGAGAAAGACCACAACAAAAUGACUCCAGAAAAUUGAUUAAAGAACAAAAGCUAGACUGAAGAAUGCAAAGUUUGUGUGAGUCUCCACUCUUAAACGGCUCACACCACCAGUGCCACCAAGUCUGUGUCCACCAGGCCCUGGGGGGAGGAGGAGGAGGAGGAGAAGUCUUUCCAAUAUUGUAAGUCUCUCUCUCUCUCUCUCUCUCUCUCUCUCUCUCUCUCUCUCUCUCUCUCUCUCUCUCUCUCUCAGUAAUGAUAAUGUAUGUGAUGUAUCAUUGUAUGUACAUUAAAAAAUAAAUCCACACAAAUUUUAGACAAAAAAAAAA